RNAcentral lists this ribosomal RNA (254 nucleotides) under uncultured bacterium. RNAcentral describes it as "partial 16S ribosomal RNA". It matches the Rfam family "Bacterial small subunit ribosomal RNA", at positions 524 to 776 of the family's 1533-position model. The record is from RNAcentral.
UACAGAGGUCACAAGCGUUAUCCGGAUUUAUUGGGCGUAAAGCGUCUCGUAGGCGGUUUGGAAAGUUGUUUUUCAAAGACCAGGGCUCAACCUCGGGAAGGGAGACAAUACUAACAGACUUGGUUAUUGGUGGGGCAUCUGGAACUGAUAGUGUAGUAGUGAAAUACGUUGAUAUUAUCAGGAACUCCAAGGGCGAAGGCAGGAUGCUAACCAAUUAACGACGCUGAGGAACGACAGCUAGGGGAGCGAAAGGG